AACCGUUCAUUCCCUAUCUUGAAGCAAAUGUUAAAAAAAUGCAUGUGAGGAAAUAAAUUCAAAAACAUUUAGGUCGAAAAGAAAGAAAAUAGAGAAGCGAUUCACAUAACAAUCUUGGUUUUGUUUAAUAGUGUAAAUCGUUUAUAAAAGUAUGUUUUUGUAUUAGAUAAUUAAAUAAAAUUUAAAUUACACUAGCUUGGAAAUAUGUAUUUCAAUUUGAUUUAUACUAUGAUAAAGAAGAAUAAAUAUUUUGGUGAUAGGUAAUAGGUAUAUCAAUACAAUUCUUUUCAUGAUCUGCCUUUCUGUUAACUGCACCGGUUCGUUCCGAUAUCUUUCACUCAUAGCCAUUGUGAUCUUAUAAGUCAAAUUUAUUAGCUAACGCAUAGCGGGGGUGAAUUGCCCCGGGCUUGGUUGUAAAUCUAAAAAAGCAUACAGUCCGUAUAUUAAGACUGGAUGACUAAUUGAGAAAGUAAUUUCCUAAGAUAAUUCCAUACGCAAUGAAUCUAUAUAACUACAUCACGUGGCAUAAUAACGUUAACGAUGCAUUAUAUUUAUUGAAAAGAGAUUAACAACAUGACUAAUUAUUUUCUUAGUCCCCAUUAGCAAAAUUAAACAACAUUCAUUCUAUAAGCCAUAUUCCUACAACGAAAAGUGUCCCAGUAACUUUGAUCUGACAUUAUAAUUUCCCAUGGAUCGAUGCAUACACUUCUCCCAUAAAACAUUACAUGUGCAUUUAUGAACUAAAAUUGAUAACGUCAUUAACGUUUCCCAUUAAAAUGUAUCCUUAAGCUAUUUGAUAUAAACGCGUGAUUUAACUCGUAAUCAUACAUUACAUGUAUUUAUAAAACUCAACGGUCUUUCCUAAGCAUAUCUUGGAACACACGGGAAUCAAAGUUAAAGUUUAAAAGCAUUUUCAGUUUUGUGAGUUAAAUUGCUUUCCAUCUCGCUGAGCAUUUACUUAUCACAUCAUGUAAGUCUGAGAGUAUUGAGUAUGUUUACGCCAGAAAUAGUGAAAUAAAUACAUUCUACGAUUUACAGGUAUAAUAUCGUAGAUUAUAAUGAUGUAUUAAAGUAAACACAUUGAAAAUAGUAGUAAUUGUAAACUAAUCUUAAUAGAAUUGAGGAAAAAGAAUGCAUGUUCUUAUGCUCUCUUCUAGGUAGAUACAAUAUACAGGUAUUAAGCUUUGUAUGUCUUCAGUGCCGGUGUAAGAAGAACGGGAACCUACAUAGCUCUGGACAUUCUGACCAAAGAGGGGGAAGCAGUAAGAGCAAUAGAUAUCCCGGGAUGUGUUCUCAAUAUGAGACAGAACAGACCAAGCAUGAUUCAGACUUUGAGCCAAUACAAGUAUCUACACCAAGCUUUGGUCCAUUCAUUGACACUUGAUUGAUCGUUGAUAAAAAGAGAACACUACCAUGAAUAUAUGCAUAUGAUGUCCAGCAAACAGGAAAUACAGAAGCAGUUUGAGAAAAUGCAAAUAAACCAAGAGCAAAAGUCGGAUCAGGAACUACAGGCUACGGAAAAGAAUCGGCUUCUAGUAAAAAUGAACAGGAAACACGCAGAUAUACCAGGUGAUGCCAACAGACCACGUCUUUAUCUGUUUUUUAAAACCAGGCGAAUCUGAUUACAUCAAUGCGAUAUACAUCAACAGUUUCAAAACAAAGAACCGCUUAUUGGUUGCACAAACACCUCUACCUGACACAGUUUCCGAUUUCAUUGCACUUGUUGUUCAAGAAAACUGUUCCUGUAUUGUUAGUAUGAAAGCACAGGGGAUUGGCUUGUACGUUCCUGGUGACUAUCAACCAAUGACGAAAGGUGUGAUUACCAUACUUUCCACAAGAGUUCAAAGUACGAGACCCUUUGUAAAAAGAGAGCUGCAUUUUAAACACGACGGAAAGACCAAGUCGGAGGUGAGAAUACCACACUAUGAAUAUAUAGAUUUGGAUAGAAAUUACAAUACUCCCAAGUCAGCAGAGCACUUUGUUGCCUUCAUCAAAGAGGUUGAAAACGCAUCCAAAUCAUCCCCCUUGAACGGACCGAUACUGGAACAGCGCUGGUAAGAGCGGACUUUUAUGUGUUGUCUCGACAUUACUUGAAACACUGAGUGAAGAUAAUGAAGUCAGUGUGGUCAAUGCGGUAAGGAAAGUCAGAGCAAGACGACCGCUUUCCAUUCCAAAUAAGGAACAAUUUUACUUUUGCUACGAAUGUGUUCUCCAAUCCUUGAAUGCAAAAGAUGACGCUGUGAACUACAACACAAGUGCGGGUAUCAAGAGGAAAUGAACACGGCUGACCAUUUUGAUACAAUUUUUGACGUCGAACGUUGCCCUUUUCAAGAACACAUGAAUAUUUACAUCCUAUAUAUAUUGGCAAUACUCAUUAAUUUUACAGACCUAAAUUUCAUACCGUCUAUGCAGAAUACUUUGAAUAAGAUAUUCAUGAAUUAAAAAAUCAUUUGGACGAAAAAUAUAGAAAAUAUGUAAGAAGUCCACGUAAUUCUGGAUCACCCCUCGUAUGACAUGUUUAGCUACAUUACUUAUAAUUUGCAGACAUGGUGACACUUGUAAACAUAACAUAAUUGCAGUUCUGCAUCACCGUAAUCACAUACAUUACAAAACACUAGUGUUUAUCUGUCUAUCUGUCUAUCUGAACAUUGUUUUGUGAAUAUCAUUGUAACUAUUUGCAGAAUUACUGCUAUCAUUGCUUGAACCAUAAUUUAGUGUAUUGUAUUUGAUCAAAACGAGAUCCCAAAGGAGAGGCAUUAAUUCAAACUUAUCGUGCGAUAGGUACCAUUUGAUAGGAUACAGCGAUUGUUCAAUGUAUGCACAUCACUUUCUGCACAGUAAGCUUGUCGAUAUAAUAAACAAAAUAUACCACACGGAACCCUCGUGAUUGAAACUGGAACUUUGAUGCAGCAAGUGUUGCUUUAAUGUUUCAUAAACGCAUUGUAUAUUUUAAUUAUCAUGUUGUUUACAUUAUGUGUAUUGAAUUAUGCUGGUUGCCUUUGUAGAAGCAUCUUUGAAUACACAAUAAAUGAGCAACUUGUACAAAAAAAUGUCCAAGCGAUUAAACAUGAUUUGUUUCAUUUUUAUAAAAAAAAAUGUUGUAUUUAAACGAGCCUUUAAGUUUGUUUUAAAUGGUUUAAAGACGAGAUGUAUUGUACGAGAAGAUUUGCACUUAACAUAAUAGUGUAUUGAAUAUUUAAGCCUUUGCAUAACUGUUGCUUCAUAGCAUAAUUAAUUAUUUUAUAGAAGUUAUAUUUUUAUCUAAAAAUAGUUUUCUGAUAGUAUUCUAUGUUUUCUACGAACUUGCAUUGGCCUUAAACAUACACUUUAAAUAAUCCGUAUAACAUUAAACAGUUAAUUUAAAAAUAAUUGCAUUAUUAUUGAUCAAAAGGCAGAAUGUGGAAAGGCAAACAUGUCCAAGGGAACAAAAAAUAUCACGCCUAAGUCAAUCUUAUAUGACAUUAAUAUCAAAGUGAAUUGAUGAAUCUGAAAACAGGAUUUUUGUCUGUUUACUUUUUUCUUUGUUAUUUUUCAUUGUAUUAAAGCAUUUUUUGUAUUGAAAUGUUUUAAUAAAGUUCCAUAAAGACCUGUUUCAAACAUACAUGUUGUAUAUAUCCUAAUACCGAAUAAAAUAUCUU
Molecule: long non-coding RNA, 3638 nt
Organism: Mya arenaria
Lineage: Eukaryota; Metazoa; Mollusca; Bivalvia; Myida; Myidae
Exons: 9
Source: RefSeq, a predicted model, not a curated record